RNAcentral lists this ribosomal RNA (253 nucleotides) under uncultured bacterium. RNAcentral's name for it is "partial 16S ribosomal RNA". It matches the Rfam family "Bacterial small subunit ribosomal RNA", at positions 524 to 776 of the family's 1533-position model. The record is from RNAcentral.
UACGGAGGGUGCAAGCGUUAUCCGGAUUCACUGGGCUUAAAGGGUGCGUAGGUGGGCUGGUAAGUCAGUGGUGAAAUCCCCGAGCUUAACUUGGGAACUGCCAUUGAUACUAUCAGUCUUGAAUACUGUGGAGGUCAGCAGAAUAUGUCAUGUAGCGGUGAAAUGCUUAGAUAUGACAUAGAAUACCAAUUGCGAAGGCAGCUGGCUACACAAAUAUUGACACUGAGGCACGAAAGCGUGGGGAUCAAACAGG